This 632-nucleotide long non-coding RNA is filed under the name Ricinus communis (castor bean). RNAcentral's name for it is "long non-coding RNA (RCOM_LNC000974)". Lineage: Eukaryota; Viridiplantae; Streptophyta; Magnoliopsida; Malpighiales; Euphorbiaceae. The record is from RNAcentral.
AAUUAUCUUAAAUGCUACAUUUUACAUAAAUACUUUGGUUUGCCAGAAAAACUAGGCGAGACCCGAAGCUCAGAAAUUUACAACUGAUACAUCUACUAUUACUACUGCGGAGAAUCUAAGAUUUACCAAUUUACAUACCAAAUCAAAUACAUCACCCGAUGAUGAAGGAGUCGGGUUACUGAAUAAGAGUCGCGAGAGAACUAACAGUCACGAAUCUGAAAAACAAUAAAUGGAGACUGUCAGUCUCGAGAGUGAGUUAAAAUCAUAUAUCUAAAACAGUUUCAAAUAUCUCAAUGUCACAUUCAUUUAAUUUUAAAAUAAUUAAUAAAUCACGCGAACUAUACGUGUCAUGUUAAAACAUAUGUGUCAUGCCAUGCUUAAACAAAAUUUAUUCCACAUGCAACGGGACAGAGUACUUCAGUAGAACUCUAAUCCCAACUCUAAAAUCUCAAUUAUUUCAACACUUAUGUCUCAACUAACCUCAACUCUAUCAUCUCAAACCUCUCAUUCCAACAGGACUGGCGCCCAGAGAGCAAAGCUCGACCAGGGACCUUACCUCCAGUCCGGUCACUUAACUCUCAGCCUUAGCCUUUUGGCUCUCUUAUCCAAUAAGAUUGGCGCCCCGAGAGCAA